This 505-nucleotide ribosomal RNA is filed under the name uncultured bacterium. RNAcentral's name for it is "bacterial SSU rRNA". It matches the Rfam family "Bacterial small subunit ribosomal RNA", at positions 791 to 1296 of the family's 1533-position model. The record is from RNAcentral.
UAGUCCACGCUGUAAACGAUGAGUACUAGCUGUUGGGGGGCAUUGUCCUUUCAGUAGCGCAGCUAACGCAGUAAGUACUCCGCCUGGGGAUUACGGCCGCAAGGCUAAAACUCAAAGAAAUUGACGGGGGCCCGCACAAGCGGUGGAGCAUGUGGUUUAAUUCGAUGCAACGCGAAGAACCUUACCAGGUCUUGACAUCCUGAAAACUUUCUAGAGAUAGAUUGGUGCCUUCGGGAAUUCAGUGACAGGUGCUGCAUGGCUGUCGUCAGCUCGUGUCGUGAGAUGUUGGGUUAAGUCCCGUAACGAGCGCAACCCUUGUCCUUAGUUGCUAGCAGGUAAUGCUGAGAACUCUAAGGAGACUGCCGGUGACAACCGGAGGAAGGUGGGACGACGUCAAGUCAUCAUGGCCCUUACGACCUGGGCUACACACGUGCUACAAUGGGCAGUACAAAGGGCCGCUAAGCCGCGAGGUGGAGCAAAUCCUAUAAAACUGUUCGUAGUCCGG